RNAcentral lists this long non-coding RNA (1232 nucleotides) under Homo sapiens (human). RNAcentral's name for it is "non-protein coding lnc-MSX1-5:1". Lineage: Eukaryota; Metazoa; Chordata; Mammalia; Primates; Hominidae. The record is from RNAcentral.
GGGACUGGGACAGGGACAUGUUUGGGAGCCACCAUUCUGCUGACUGCAGUGGCCACCCAAGUCCUUUAAUUUACAUACCUACCGCUGGCAACGGCCUAUGUCAGAACCACUGGGAGGGCUUGUUGAAAUGCGGAUUGCUGGGCCCCACUCCCAGAUUUUCUAAUUCAGUGGGUUUAGGGAAGGACCUGAGAAUUUGCAUUUCUUAUGGAUUUCAAGGUGAUACUGAUGCUGCUGUUCCUAGAAUCACAUUUUGAGACCCCCUGGGCUAAGAGAAGGUAGAAUUCCUUGACUUGGUUUCCCACAGAGCCCACAUAUUUAUGGGGAGAGCAAUUUCCUAAAAGAUCCAUGGGAAGCAGAAGCCAGGAGAGAGGGAAGGGUUGCAUGUGGCAGGGACUCCCAGGUCCAGCUUGUUAGGGGCUUCUGCUCUGGAAAAAUGUGUGAUGCACCAAGGAAGGUCUAAGAGGAAGGUGCUCAGAAUGAUAGAGGAGGGUAGAGAGAGGCUGUUUCAUCUAACCUCAGAAGUCACACAUUUCCAUUUUCUUAAUAUCUGAUUGGUCACAAAGGGGCAGCCCUGAUUCAAUAUGGCAGAUGACUACACAGGGCAUGAAUAUUGGGAGGCAGAGAUCACUGGGCACCAUCUUAGAAUUUGGCUAUGACGUGAGCCAACUUUUUCUUCAGGAUAAAUUCCUAUCUAAGGGGUCUGGGGAGUAGCCACGAUUAUUCUGGGUCUCUCUUAGAGUCACUAUACAUGAAUGACAGUUUCUGUCCUCCUGCCAGUGUGUGCCUUUCACUAAACCAGAGGCUGCAAAGAGACAGCCAAGCUGUUUUUACUUUCUGGAUAUUGAAUCUCACUCUGUGCCAGGUGUGGUCUUGGGUGCUGGAGUGUGGUGUGGCCAGGGCAGAUGCAGUCACCUUACCUGGGGACCAUAACAGAGAAAACAGACAACAAGCAAGAUGAAUAAACAAAAAUGGAAUAAGUAAAACAAAUAGUAGAGUCCUGGAGUGAUUGGGGAACACAGGAUGCCCUUGAGUCUAGAGUGAGAGAAAGAGUGGGACUAUUAGUUCUGUUAUUUGCACUUGGUUGCGUCUGUUAGCUUGCUGCCACUGUUUUGUGACUGUGGUGUGUGAGCUUAUCUUCAGCGGACAUACCUUGCAGCUAAGGUUGAGGGAUACAUCUCCAAGGAAAUUUUGCAUAUGCUUCUUCUGGGCAUCUCAGACACUCAUCCUCAUCA